This is a long non-coding RNA of Ostrea edulis (European flat oyster), 496 nucleotides long. RefSeq lists it as uncharacterized. The record is from RefSeq and is a predicted model, not a curated record. The transcript is spliced from 2 exons. NCBI's taxonomy places the organism in Eukaryota, Metazoa, Mollusca, Bivalvia, Ostreida, Ostreidae.
CUGUGUUCAGGUAAAUAGACAAUUUUAUCCUAAAAUUUCACCCAUACGUAUAAAUCAGGACUAAGCAAGUUCUGUUUUUUAUCACAGUAUUCGAGCUGGUUUACGGUGUUUGCUUUGGUCAGUUUGGGCGUAGCAGGCACAGGUAACAGACGCCAAGUAGCUGGCAGUUUUUAAUAUUAUAAGAUAUUCAAUUUGUUAUAUUGCUUCAGACAGAUUCCACUUUAGCGCUUCUGAGAUCCCUUCAACAAUUAGUUACAAAAGACACCAAGGAGAAGUGGAGAGGGGACCUGUGGGGACAGGGAGUCCGUCGUAUUUUAAGUGAAGCCAAAAUUUCAAUUGGACCCAAAAUGCACAACUACCAUCCACAUGAUCCAUAAGUGGUUGAAACAAACGCAGUGCCAUUAAAGUGUCAAUUGCCAAUAAGAUUGAGUUUGAAAUUAUAUUUUAUUGUAUUCUUGUAAUAAUUAGAAAACAAUGAUGUAAAAAUAAUAUGUAA